UAGUGAAAACAAAUUUUGGUCCUAAAAGUCUUUGUAGUUGUAUUUUAAGUCUUGUUUCAGGAUUCUAGUCAGUCUGCUGUUUCAAUACUAGUAUCUGACUUAGCAGAAUUCAGUAUCUCCUUGCUAUUGACAGACAGAUGGCAAGACAUAUUUUUAAAUAAGCCAAAAAUUAGAAAAUUUUCAGUUUUUUUCGCUUCCACAGUGAUAAAUAUGAAAGAAUACUGCCCAAAAUUGAACCCGGGAAAUUUUUUUUAUUAAAAUUGGUCAAAUGAGAGGAAAACAAGCAAAUGAUAAACACCACCAAACAAAAUCCAUGGCCGACCUUCAAAAAAUCAUAACAACAUAACAGCAUUGCAACCUAAUGUGAUAAUUUGUCACAACUUCUCAAAAUUUUGUCUAAAGGAAUAAAAAUCGCCAAUUAUACUUUUUUCAGGACGUAAAUAUCAAUCAGAGUUUUAACUAUAAAAAUUAAAAAAUUCACAAAUGAAGGAUGCCAACAAGAUGGAUGAGACAUUGAACGCCAGGCCAAUUUAUUCAAACAUUUAGACUGAAUUUGGGCACACGUCCAACGGUAAGUUUUACAUGUAAAGAACACGCUCACUAAUAGAAUUGUUGGAAAGGGUGACAUUUUUGGGUUUUAGGUGUCACUGGGCAAUUGAAGCCCUGAGAGGAGGAUAUAGCAAAACCAUAAGGACCAUGAGAUGACAACAUGAAAAAAUUAGAGUACACAAGAGACAAGGGAAGUAAAAACCUGGCCAGAGUACGUAGAAACGUGGAAUAAAAUAGCUUUCGCUGUCUCUGGGAAAUCGCAUGCUUGAGAGCAUUGAGAAGAGAAUCUCGCAGAAAGCAAAUAGACCAUGACAACAUGAACAACAAUCAAAGUAAAAAACUGACCAGAGGCCGAAGAAAAGUGAAAUAGAUAUAUGUAAAAACAGAUGGUUACCGUUGCCUUUGAUUAAAGUUUAACAUAUAAAGUACGUCUUUGUUAAUAGAAUUGUUGAAAAUAGUGACUUUUUGGGUUUUAGUUGUCACUGGGAAAUUGCAUGCCUGAAAGGAGGUUCCAGCAUAAAGCAUACGGACCAUGAAAUGACAACAUGAAAAUACAGAACACAAGAGACAAGGGAAGUGCAAACCUGACCAGAAGAUGUAGAAAGCUGACACUGAGAAACCACAUACAUGAGAGGAGAAUCUAGCAUAAACCAUAUGGAACAUGAGAUGACAACAUGAAAAGAAAAUAGUACACGAAAGGGAAGGGGAGUAAAAUCCUGAUGAAAGGCCGUAGAAAGGUGAAAUACAACAGAGAUAUAAAAAACGG
This is a long non-coding RNA of Cimex lectularius (bed bug), 1315 nucleotides long. RefSeq lists it as uncharacterized. The transcript is spliced from 4 exons. The record is from RefSeq and is a predicted model, not a curated record. NCBI's taxonomy places the organism in Eukaryota, Metazoa, Arthropoda, Insecta, Hemiptera, Cimicidae.